Molecule: non-coding RNA, 1102 nt
Organism: Nicotiana tabacum (common tobacco)
Lineage: Eukaryota; Viridiplantae; Streptophyta; Magnoliopsida; Solanales; Solanaceae
Source: RefSeq, a predicted model, not a curated record
AGGGUAUUGGUUCUUGGUCAGUGCAUAUGUUCAUGAUCUUUUCACUGCAUUGGCCGGAUGUUUUGCCUGUUAGUGAUUUGGGGGUCAGGAAAGGUGUGCAGUUGUUAUACGGAUUAGAGGAAUUACCUAGGCCGUCGCAGAUGGAGCAAUUGUGCGAGAAAUGGAGACCAUAUAGGUCAGCUGGGGCGUGGUAUAUGUGGCGGUUUGUGGAGGGGAAAGGGACUCCAACUACUGCUGCAGCUGCAAUUGAUGCUGGUAAUGUGCAGCCGUUGCAGCAAAUUCAGACAGGACAGGAGACACAGCAACAUCAGUUGCAGCUUCUCGAGCCUAUAAAUGGCAUUGGGAAUCUUGGGUAUUUGACUAUUUUCCGCCUGAAGUAAUAAUAGUCGUUUCUAUAUUAAAUUCUAGAGUGGGCUUGCAUUUGGAGCCAAUGACCAAAAGUGUGCAGAUGUCAGACUAUUUACUUGGGCUGGAAUGUGUGUGCAAAUAAAGAAUUGGUUUCCUAAGAUGCUGUGCACCAAAAUUCUGUCGCAAGUGUCAGUGUUGAGCUAAGUUAGGUGCUGUAAAGGAAUGUGCUAGAUGGCAGAGCUUCAUUUGUUUGAUUGAUGUGAGGGGCUGCACUUUCUUCGUAUAGAGGUAAUACAAUGCUCACUAUUUCUACCCCCUUCCUUCCCCUUUCCUUAAUUCUCUUGUCCCAUUUAAAUGUAAAAUCACGGCUUCAAACUGUGUUGUGAUUUUUAGCAACGAGGUAUAAUAAUAUAAAUAAACUUUACUAUGAUAGAGAUUGAGCACUUGUCUUUGUUUCUGUCCCUUUUGGUCUUGUUUUUGAGGUUGAGAUCCUUCUCGAUUAUUCUCUGUGGGUUUUAAAUGAUGGCGUUGAUCCCAUGGCUUGAGUUCAACCAAAAAUAUUACAUUUUUAAUUCUCGACAGGGAAGCCUCAUAAGAUUCUUCUUUGUUGUGUUGCUGUCGUAAAAUAGCUUUCUUCGUUCCGUUGUCGAUCUUCUAAUAAAUUUUAGAUUUGAUUGUAUUAUAGUGUAUACCCGUUAUGUACACAAUAUUGGCAGUUAUUCUAUUUUCAUCAUAGAAUGAUUAUUCGGUCUUU